CCUACGGGAGGCUGCAGUGGGGAAUAUUGGACAAUGGGGGGAACCCUGAUCCAGCCAUGCCGCGUGUGUGAAGAAGACCCUCGGGUUGUAAAGCACUUUCAGUGAGGAAGAACGCCUGGUGGUUAAUACCCAUCAGGAAAGACAUCACUCACAGAAGAAGCACCGGCUAACUCCGUGCCAGCAGCCGCGGUAAUACGGAGGGUGCGAGCGUUAAUCGGAAUUACUGGGCGUAAAGCGCGCGUAGGUGGCUUGAUAAGCCGGUUGUGAAAGCCCCGGGCUCAACCUGGGAACGGCAUCCGGAACUGUCAAGCUAGAGUGCAGGAGAGGAAGGUAGAAUUCCCGGUGUAGCGGUGAAAUGCGUAGAGAUCGGGAGGAAUACCAGUGGCGAAGGCGGCCUUCUGGACUGACACUGACACUGAGGUGCGAAAGCGUGGGUAGCAAACAGGAUUAGAUACCCUUGUAGUC
RNAcentral lists this ribosomal RNA (465 nucleotides) under Vreelandella stevensii. Its description in RNAcentral is "partial 16S ribosomal RNA". It matches the Rfam family "Bacterial small subunit ribosomal RNA", at positions 338 to 795 of the family's 1533-position model. Lineage: Bacteria; Pseudomonadati; Pseudomonadota; Gammaproteobacteria; Oceanospirillales; Halomonadaceae. The record is from RNAcentral.